RNAcentral lists this transfer RNA (72 nucleotides) under Phrynosoma platyrhinos (Desert horned lizard). RNAcentral describes it as "tRNA-OTHER". Lineage: Eukaryota; Metazoa; Chordata; Lepidosauria; Squamata; Phrynosomatidae. The record is from RNAcentral.
GCCAGCAUGGCGUAGUGGUUUGAGCGCUGAACUAUGACUCUGGAGACCAGGGUUCGAAUUCCAGCUCAGCCA